AGAUGUAUGUUUAAUCGUCGAUGAUAUUAUGAUAAAAUAUCGUGAAAACGAGCUAUACACAAUACUCCAUAAUUGAUGUAGAAUCUACAUAAGAUUGCACUGUCAAAAAAGAGAAUUUUGUAUUCCGUAGUAAAUUAUCGAUAUUCAUUCCGUUGACAUUUAUGUAGCAUCGCGAUAUAUCAAUAAUUUCGAGGUUGAGGUAUGUAAGUAAAGAACAGCCUUGACCACCAGUAUCAUACGUUCGGUCACGUUAAUUAAUACAAACGUAAGAAAGUGCAAUUCGUAAACCAAUGUCAUAGUGAUCGACGACGACAUCAUGUUGCAACCGGUCGUAAGGCAACCAUGAUGUAAACUAAAGCGAUUGCAGUGCCAUUCAUGACUUUUUACGAACUAAUUGACUAAUUGACGUGGAUAUCAGCAUAUGGAUAUUCAGAAAUCGACGGUAUUUGAUUUAGUAUACAAAUAUUUACGAAAAUGCGCCGAUCGGGAUGUGAAAUGGAAGCAACGAAAUUGCGCGUGCAAUAAAUUUCAAAAGCAACAUGCGAGAAGAAAGGAUAUUCAAAAACGAGAUGUACCGAUACCGCGCGUCAAUUUCCAUCAAAGUUUUGACGACAACAACGAGCAGUUUAAGUCAGAUAAAAUUAAAUGUGCCAACAAGAUAGUUAGGAAGAAAAGAAGAUGUACUGCGUAUUAUGCGAAAGCUAUCCACGAUGGUAUAGUAAUAUGCAUCUAAAUUUAUAGAAUAUCAAUUAUGAUUUUAAUAAAACUAAAUUUAUGAUGUAAAGAAUUACUUAUGGAAAAAAAAGAAAAGUAAAGGAAAGAAAUUCUUAGAUUAAUUUCACCAUUUAGGAUCAAAACACGCAAAAUGCUACAUCAAGGAAGCACUCUUAUAUGGAUUACUAUCCGGAUUAUUAAUUCCGAGUGAUGAACAAAACAUGUUGCGUGUCUCGCGAAAAUUGGGAAACAUUUGUCCGUCG
This is a long non-coding RNA of Ooceraea biroi (clonal raider ant), 977 nucleotides long. RefSeq lists it as uncharacterized. NCBI's taxonomy places the organism in Eukaryota, Metazoa, Arthropoda, Insecta, Hymenoptera, Formicidae. The record is from RefSeq and is a predicted model, not a curated record.